UGCUUAGUUUAUCAAAUUCAUAUUACUGAUAAAGUGUUAAAACUUAGAUGAGAUGUUGGUGUUUUAUGGCUCACGAAUUCGCAAUAACGGAUACGUAUAGCAGUUCGUGUUAAUGACAUUAAUCCAAACAUAUUGAUGACGUGAUAACAUGGGCGUCGAAUCCAAUAUUAAUCAUGCUGAGGUUUUCUCGACGGGGUAAUGUGUAUAAAUGCAGUUAUAAAAUUAAAAGGGACAAGAUAGUCGACGUGACCCUCAUGUUUCCAUGGCAAUCAGUCAAUUACAUGUUAACGUUAUGAUCGCACCUGCGGUCAUUCGCGCAGUAUCCAUGAUUUUAAGCGGCAUGAAACACUUAAGUUAACUCGUUUGUACGAAAAUGUCAUGUCGUAGUCCUUCAAAUUAGAAUAGUGAUGAUGAUCUUGUCAAUGCUGAGAUUUUCAUGCAUCAACAGCCACUACAUCUGGAUCAGAUUGAACAAGAAACAGACAGCAAGGGUUGUCAGGUCAGAAACAGAAUGACACACAAACACAAGAAACUUCACAGGCAUAUCAACAUGCAAUUUGAAGACGUGUGAUAAAAUACAGAGAGGUGAAGUAGUGUGUCUUUCCAGAUCCCCAAAUCAUUCCCCCUUAAAAGAUGAGCCUGAAGAGGAGAUUUGGGAAGAUGCUGUUUCAUAAGUCGCUUUGCCUGAUCACAUGUGGUCGGGAUGUCUGCUAACAAGAUGCCUUGCUGGUCUGGGCGAGUAUAAAGGCUUACACAGACAGUCCAGAGGUUCUGAAGUCCAUCUUCGAUCUCAUUGGACGAUUUAAGGUGUAGAAACAUCUCAGCAACCUCAAGAGAAAUUGGAGGCAACUGUGCUGAAUUGCAGAUGAUGUUGCAAAGGGUCUGAAUAUGUAUAAUAUGCUGUCAUCGUAUUAAGUACAGCAUGAGCCAGAAUGGAUGGGUGGUGGUGGCCAUAAGAAGACUGUCAACUUAACCAACAACAAAAUUCAUAUUUGCAGUUUUUCUUGAAUAAAGUUUUUCUAUUCAGAUGAAUAAAAUGACUUUUAAACAUGAUUUUGUUUCAUAUUUUAUGAUUUUAUUCUAUAUUUAGAAAAUUCCACUUCUGCACUACUAACUGGAAACCUAACUGUUUGAAAGAAUGUGUUUUAUCCAU
Non-coding RNA from Paramisgurnus dabryanus, 1153 nucleotides. The record is from RefSeq and is a predicted model, not a curated record. NCBI's taxonomy places the organism in Eukaryota, Metazoa, Chordata, Actinopteri, Cypriniformes, Cobitidae.